GAAUUGUUCACAAUGGGCGCAAGCCUGAUGACGCAACGCCGCGUGGGGGAUGAAGGUCUUCGGAUCGUAAACCCCUGUCGAAUGGGACGAAUAGCUUCCGGAUCAAUACCCCGGAGGAAUGACGGUAACGUUAAAGGAACCCACGGCUCACUCUGUGCGAGAAGGCGCGGUAAUACAGAGGUGGCAAGCGUUGUUCGGAAUUACUGGGCGUAAAGGGCGCGUAGGCGGCCAUCUAAGUCAGACGUGAAAUCCCCCGGCUCAACCUGGGAACUGCGUCUGAUACUGGAAGGCUAGAGUUUGGGAGAGGGAUGUAGAAUUCCAGGUGUAGCGGUGAAAUGCGUAGAUAUCUGGAGGAAUACCGGUGGCGAAGGCGGCAUCCUGGACCAAUACUGACGCUGAGGCGCGAAAGCUAGGGGAGCAAACGGG
Molecule: ribosomal RNA, 426 nt
Filed under: uncultured bacterium
Lineage: Bacteria
Description: bacterial SSU rRNA
Rfam family: Bacterial small subunit ribosomal RNA
Source: RNAcentral